AAUAAGUACUAGCCUUGCCAAACUUCUGAAUUGCCAUUCUCAUGGCGGGUUGUCUUGAAAUGAAUGUUCCGCUAUUAUCUGUGGUUCAACCCUGGACAGUGUGGACAGCCAGGCCCGAUUCGAUUGUAAGAAACUAGUCGAUGGUACAGCGCAAUGGAGGCAUGAGCGAAACAACAAAUAUGUUGACAAUCCAGCUGGUUUUGGUGUAAAUCUAAGGAAUUAUUUACUUUGACACUAUCUCCCUGCUCUCAAUGAAAGCUUGUUUUGUUUUUUGGAACUAAGACUACUAGAUUAUUAUUUUUUGUAACUAAGUUACAGCUCAUGAUCUUAUAUGCACAACAUGUUGGACCCAAGCCCAAGAUACAACACAAAUGCAUCUACUUCAAAUCUUAGCAGAAAAUGUGUGCUUUGCAGUAGAACACUAGAGCCUAGAACACGUUCACAUCAGCUCAUGUCCCUGAGAACUAACACUCAACAUCAUAUUAACAUCAGGAACAUAAUUGUGGAACGACUAACUCCAUUAGAGGUUACUGCAAAUGACUACAUCUGUGGGGCUUGUCACUCAUUAUUGCAAAGAGAUACCACACCUACUUCACAAGACUCUCCAGAUAUGCCAACCGGUGCCCCGGUAGGUCACCAACAAGUUUGUGUUGGAUGUGGUUGUUCAUUAUUGCGAACUUGAAGUCAUUGUUUGGAUACAGAGAAUAAUCAAGAUAUAUUAAACAUUGUUCGAAAUUGGAUUCAACCCAGAGAGAUUCGUCCUUCAGAUCUUCUUUGCCAUAGAUACUAUCAGAGAGCACGAAUUACUACAGUUGGUGCUUAUUUAAUGAAGCUGAGGACCGGUGAUUCAGAUGACAGAAUAGCUACAUUACUUGGCAUUUCAAGGAGUACUCUUACAAAAUAUGUAAUGAAAGCACGCAGUAUGAUGGAGGAACAUUUCGUACCAGCACAUUUAGGGUUACAACAUAUUAGUAGAGAGGAAGUAGCCCAAAGAAACCUUUAUGUUCCAGUCUCUUUUCGGGAAGCCAGGAAACGAUUUACCACAAAGAAAGGCUAUUGUCAUCAUGGAUGGUACAUACAUACAUUUAUGUGCAAAAAAGUAGCAAUUAUGCAUACCAAAAAAAAAACUCAUUCCCUAUACAAAUAUCGGAAUCUCGUUAAACCAUUUAUGGUACUUUGUUGUGAUGGCGACAUCAUUGAUGUAUUGGGCCCAUAUUUAAUAGAAAAUGUAGAACAUGACCAUUAAUAAAUAAUAAGUACCUA
Ostrinia nubilalis (European corn borer) is the source of this 1263-nucleotide long non-coding RNA. RefSeq lists it as uncharacterized. Lineage: Eukaryota; Metazoa; Arthropoda; Insecta; Lepidoptera; Crambidae. The record is from RefSeq and is a predicted model, not a curated record. The transcript is spliced from 4 exons.